AUACUGCAGUCGAGCGGACCAGAAGGGAGCUUGCUCCCGGAUGUUAGCGGCGGACGGGUGAGUAACACGUGGGUAACCUGCCUGUAAGACUGGGAUAACUCCGGGAAACCGGAGCUAAUACCGGAUAGUUCCUUGAACCGCAUGGUUCAAGGAUGAAAGACGGUUUCGGCUGUCACUUACAGAUGGACCCGCGGCGCAUUAGCUAGUUGGUGGGGUAAUGGCUCACCAAGGCGACGAUGCGUAGCCGACCUGAGAGGGUGAUCGGCCACACUGGGACUGAGACACGGCCCAGACUCCUACGGGAGGCAGCAGUAGGGAAUCUUCCGCAAUGGACGAAAGUCUGACGGAGCAACGCCGCGUGAGUGAUGAAGGUUUUCGGAUCGUAAAGCUCUGUUGUUAGGGAAGAACAAGUGCGAGAGUAACUGCUCGCACCUUGACGGUACCUAACCAGAAAGCCACGGCUAACUACGUGCCAGCAGCCGCGGUAAUACGUAGGUGGCAAGCGUUGUCCGGAAUUAUUGGGCGUAAAGGGCUCGCAGGCGGUUUCUUAAGUCUGAUGUGAAAGCCCCCGGCUCAACCGGGGAGGGUCAUUGGAAACUGGGAAACUUGAGUGCAGAAGAGGAGAGUGGAAUUCCACGUGUAGCGGUGAAAUGCGUAGAGAUGUGGAGGAACACCAGUGGCGAAGGCGACUCUCUGGUCUGUAACUGACGCUGAGGAGCGAAAGCGUGGGGAGCGAACAGGAUUAGAUACCCUGGUAGUCCACGCCGUAAACGAUGAGUGCUAAGUGUUAGGGGGUUUCCGCCCCUUAGUGCUGCAGCUAACGCAUUAAGCACUCCGCCUGGGGAGUACGGUCGCAAGACUGAAACUCAAAGGAAUUGACGGGGGCCCGCACAAGCGGUGGAGCAUGUGGUUUAAUUCGAAGCAACGCGAAGAACCUUACCAGGUCUUGACAUCCUCUGACAACCCUAGAGAUAGGGCUUUCCCUUCGGGGACAGAGUGACAGGUGGUGCAUGGUUGUCGUCAGCUCGUGUCGGGAAAUGUUGGGUUAAGUCCCGCAACGAGCGCAACCCUUGAU
RNAcentral lists this ribosomal RNA (1075 nucleotides) under Bacillus sp. (in: firmicutes). Its description in RNAcentral is "bacterial SSU rRNA". It matches the Rfam family "Bacterial small subunit ribosomal RNA", at positions 51 to 1109 of the family's 1533-position model. Lineage: Bacteria; Bacillati; Bacillota; Bacilli; Caryophanales; Bacillaceae. The record is from RNAcentral.